CAGCAGCCGCGGGAAUACGGAGGGAGCUAGCGUUGUUCGGAAUUACUGGGCGUAAAGCGCACGUAGGCGGUUAUUCAAGUCAGAGGUGAAAGCCCGGGGCUCAACCCCGGAACUACCUUUGAAACUAGAUGACUAGAAUCUUGGAGAGGUCAGUGGAAUUCCGAGUGUAGAGGUGAAAUUCGUAGAUAUUCGGAAGAACACCAGUGGCGAAGGCGACUGACUGGACAAGUAUUGACGCUGAGGUGCGAAAGCGUGGGGAGCAAACAGGAUUAGAUACCCCAGUAGUCCCUGUCUCUUAUAU
This 301-nucleotide ribosomal RNA is filed under the name uncultured bacterium. RNAcentral describes it as "partial 16S ribosomal RNA". It matches the Rfam family "Bacterial small subunit ribosomal RNA", at positions 509 to 809 of the family's 1533-position model. The record is from RNAcentral.